RNAcentral lists this ribosomal RNA (492 nucleotides) under uncultured bacterium. RNAcentral describes it as "partial 16S ribosomal RNA". It matches the Rfam family "Bacterial small subunit ribosomal RNA", at positions 29 to 507 of the family's 1533-position model. The record is from RNAcentral.
AGUGAACGCUGGCGGUAGGCCUAACACAUGCAAGUCGAACGGCAGCACAGUAGGAGCUUGCUCUUACGGGUGGCGAGUGGCGGACGGGUGAGGAAUACAUCGGAAUCUACUUUUUCGUGGGGGAUAACGUAGGGAAACUUACGCUAAUACCGCAUACGACCUACGGGUGAAAGCAGGGGAUCUUCGGAUCUUGCGCGAUUGAAUGAGCCGCUGUCGGAUUAGCUAGUUUGCGGGGUAAAGGCCCACCAAGGCGACGAUCCGUAGCUGGUCUGAGAGGAUGAUCAACCACACUGGAACUGAGACACAGUCCAUGCUCCUACGGGAGGCAGCAGUGGGGAAUAUUGGACAAUGGGCGCAAGCCUGAUCCAGCCAUACCGCGUGGGUGAAGAAGGCCUUCGGGUUGUAAAGCCCUUUUGUUGGGAAAGAAAAGCAGCAGGUUAAUACCCCGCUGUUCUGACGGUACCCAAAGAAUAAGCACCGGCUAACUUCGUG